This 85-nucleotide small RNA is filed under the name Mytilus galloprovincialis (Mediterranean mussel). Lineage: Eukaryota; Metazoa; Mollusca; Bivalvia; Mytilida; Mytilidae. The record is from RNAcentral.
UGUUGACUGGGUGUGAGGGUAAUAGCAAGUUUGUUGUCCAUGGAAGGGACAGCAAACUUGCUAUUACCCGCACACCCAGUCAUUA